RNAcentral lists this long non-coding RNA (2171 nucleotides) under Numida meleagris (helmeted guineafowl). Its description in RNAcentral is "lncRNA (ENSNMEG00000002468.1)". Lineage: Eukaryota; Metazoa; Chordata; Aves; Galliformes; Numididae. The record is from RNAcentral.
GUGCUUGGCUGGCACCGAAGCCCACGGCGAAGCAGACCCGCCCGUGGAAGACUGAGGUAGUUCACGCCGUGCGAGACGUAAGGCGGAGCGGACGCCAACCAGGCAUGGAGCGAGUUAUUAAGACUGCCCGGGAAAACCGACCGCAAGCGUACCGGUUAGCGGCGAGAACAAAGAGAAUCAACCGUCCCUACAACCAGCGUUGCGGAACGAACUUCCAACGGUGCCGGACGCUCCGCCUCCGUAUCCGCAGCGACCAUUAUAUCCUUCCUUGCGAAACUGCACGGGGGGGGAGGGCGGUUGCCCCGCAACGGGAGACGCGGCGUCAGCAGCACCCACGGCAGGAAGGAAGGAGGUGAUUGGUGCGGCGGGAAAGAACGCCCCGCCUACCGCCCCCGUCCCGCUUACUGAUUGGUUGAGGGUGAGACAGGAAGUUGAGGACAGGGGCCUGGCGGUGGGGGCGUACCCGGUUGUGGUCGGGGACCAGGGCCCGACGUGGGUGCCUUUAGACCCGGAGGGCGUUAUUCGCUUCUUAGAGGCGGUAGAGAAAAAGGGACUGAGGUCACCGUCAACGUUGGAUGCGCUGGAAGCGCUCACAGCCUUCGGGCCUAUGCUCCCGCAUGAUAUAGUCAACCUCAUGCGGAUGGCGCUUAAGCCGGUGCAAUACGUUCUGUGGGAGCAAGAGUGGGGGUCUGAGUGUAGGAGGGUGUCGGGGUUGGCUGAGGGGGACCCGACUCACCCCGCUCACGGCACAGAUGUAGCCAGGCUAACGGGUGCGGCGGCCGGGAUGGCCACUCCUCACGGCCAGCUAACCCGGUUACGACCCGGAGAGCUGAAGGCCGCUACGGACGCCAUGAUCGACGCGUUCGAAAAGCUCGCGUGUUACGCCGAGCCCGCAACUCCCUGGGCAGACGUCGUCCAGGGGCCCGCCGAAUCCUUCCAGGAAUUCGCUGACCGAUUGAUAAGAGCCGUAGAAGGGUCGGAUUUGCCCAGGGCGGCCCACGAUCCCGUUAUCAUGGAUUGCCUGGAACGAAAGUCCCGCGAGGACGUUAAAGCUCUCUUACGGUCGGCGCCCGAUAGGUUGAGCACGCCGGGAGAGAUGAUCGAAGAGCGCCGCAGGCGGAGGAACCCGCGAAGGGCCCCUGCUACCACUGCGGCGAACGUGGUCAUGUGAAAGCGCAAUGCCCCAAGAGGAAAAAGAAGUCGGUUAGCUGCCAGUUUUGCGGAAAGCGAGCACACACCGCUCGCCAGUGCCGACACUUGAAAGCGCUGUUGCAGGGAAAGGGCUCGGGGAGCGGCUCCGCGGCCCAGGCUCCCUCCCUUCCAAAUACGGAUGGGCCCGGCGGCUGGGGUUGGGCGGGGCCGCGUGUGACGCCCACGGGUCCGCCUACGCCGCCCGUUCCCCGCCCAUCGUGGCAUUAACCCUUCGUACAGGAGAGAGCCCUUUGGUCAAGGUCCUUGCAUCCUGCCUUGACCUUCCUUCUGACCAUUGCGGACCUCGUUCCACCGCCUUUGUUGCAUCGGUUGAUUCAGGGGCCGAUGUUACUGUCGUCUCCGAGAAUGAUUGGCCUGAAGGAUGGCCAACCGGACCCCCUCAGCUCAUCAGAGGGGCGGGAGGCACUAUAAAUACACGCAAAUCUUUAGCCAAGUUGGAAAUUAUUGUGGUCGCCCGUGAUGGAACAUGGGAGAAACCCGCUCUGCUUGUUCCAUUGGUGGCGAAAGUCCCCGGGACCCUUCUGGGCCGAGAUUUACAAAUUUAUAGUUAGGGCCACUGCCUGCCAAUUGUCUAUCGCUCACGCUACCCCGCUGCGAUGGAGGCAGGACGCGCGCCCCGUCUGGGUAAAUCAGCGGCCCGUUCCUCAAGAAAAGCUCGUCGUGCUUAAACAAUUAGUUCCCCGGGAAUGUCAGUUAGGAUGCAUAGAGCCUUCCCUCCGUCAAUGGAAUGCCCCGAUCUUUGUGAUAAAGAAGCGCUCGGGUCCUUACCGCUUGCUGCAUGCCUUGCGUGCGGUCAACGCUGAAUUGAUACUGUUGGACCAGUGCAACUUGGGGGCCCGAUAUUGUGAGCCGUACCUAAAGGAUGGCCCCUGGUGGCCAUCGAUCUUCAAGAUUGCUUUUUCUCGAUUCCUUUAGCAGAACGGGACCGAGAAGCGCUUCUUCCGCACAAACUUUACCGU